RNAcentral lists this ribosomal RNA (750 nucleotides) under uncultured bacterium. RNAcentral describes it as "bacterial SSU rRNA". It matches the Rfam family "Bacterial small subunit ribosomal RNA", at positions 43 to 782 of the family's 1533-position model. The record is from RNAcentral.
CAGGCCUAACACAUGCAAGUCGAGCGGUAACACAAGGGAGCUUGCUCCUGAGGUGACGAGCGGCGGACGGGUGAGUAAUGCCUAGGUAUCUGCCCAGUCGAGGGGGAUAACAGUUGGAAACGACUGCUAAUACCGCAUACGUCCUACGGGGGAAAGGAGGGGACCUUCGGGCCUUCCGCGAUUGGAUGAACCUAGGUGGGAUUAGCUAGUUGGUGAGGUAAUGGCUCACCAAGGCGACGAUCCCUAGCUGGUCUGAGAGGAUGAUCAGCCACACUGGAACUGAGACACGGUCCAGACUCCUACGGGAGGCAGCAGUGGGGAAUAUUGCACAAUGGGCGAAAGCCUGAUGCAGCCAUGCCGCGUGUGUGAAGAAGGCCUUCGGGUUGUAAAGCACUUUCAGCGAGGAGGAAAGGUUAGGUCUUAAUACGGCCUAGCUGUGACGUUACUCGCAGAAGAAGCACCGGCUAACUUCGUGCCAGCAGCCGCGGUAAUACGAGGGGUGCAAGCGUUAAUCGGAAUUACUGGGCGUAAAGCGUACGCAGGCGGUUUGUUAAGCAAGAUGUGAAAGCCCCGGGCUCAACCUGGGAACUGCAUUUUGAACUGGCAAACUAGAGUCUUGUAGAGGGGGGUAGAAUUUCAGGUGUAGCGGUGAAAUGCGUAGAGAUCUGAGGGAAUACCGGUGGCGAAGGCGGCCCCCUGGACAAAGACUGACGCUCAGGUACGAAAGCGUGGGGAGCAAACAGGAUUAGA